This 478-nucleotide ribosomal RNA is filed under the name uncultured bacterium. RNAcentral describes it as "partial 16S ribosomal RNA". It matches the Rfam family "Bacterial small subunit ribosomal RNA", at positions 28 to 523 of the family's 1533-position model. The record is from RNAcentral.
GACGAACGCUGGCGGCGUGCUUAACACAUGCAAGUCGAACGGUAAGGCCCUUCGGGGUACACGAGUGGCGAACGGGUGAGUAACACGUGGGUGAUCUGCCCUGCACUUCGGGAUAAGCCUGGGAAACUGGGUCUAAUACCGGAUAGGACCCUGGGAUGCAUGUCCUGGGGUGGAAAGCUUUUGCGGUGUGGGGUGGGCCCGCGGCCUAUCAGCUUGUUGGUGGGGUGAUGGCCUACCAAGGCGACGACGGGUAGCCGGCCUAAGAGGGUGACCGGCAAGACUGGGACUGAGAUACGGCCCAGACUCCAACGGGAGGCAGCAGUGGGGAAUAUUGCACAAUGGGCGCAAGCCUGAUGCAGCGACGCCGCGUGAGGGAUGACGGCCUUCGGGUUGUAAACCUCUUUCGGCACCGACGAAGCGCAAGUGACGGUAGGUGCAGAAGAAGGACCGGCCAACUACGUGCCAGCCGCCGCGGUAA